GACUCGGUAGCGGACGGACCGCGCCCGUAAUCCAUGAACAAGACGAGCGUCGAGCGAUUGUCUAGCGGGAGGUGCCUGUUCGAACCAGGCCCGAGUCA
Mycena latifolia is the source of this 98-nucleotide non-coding RNA. The record is from the annotation of a GenBank genome assembly. NCBI's taxonomy places the organism in Eukaryota, Fungi, Basidiomycota, Agaricomycetes, Agaricales, Mycenaceae.